Long non-coding RNA from Homo sapiens (human), 488 nucleotides. Ensembl annotates it as ZRANB2 divergent transcript. Its record names the gene ZRANB2-DT. The record is from Ensembl. Lineage: Eukaryota; Metazoa; Chordata; Mammalia; Primates; Hominidae.
GGUGGAGGCGGAAGUGACUGAUCAAUUCAGGGGCGUGGGGUUCGUUUAGGUUUUGCCCUGUGUAUGACCUCGUUUGGAGCCAUGAAACCAGGUGGCUUUUCUACAAUAUAAAGAUGGAAAUGGGAAGAAGAUGUUCAUUGCAAAUUAAGGAAGCUCUUCCACGAGUUCACGAAUGGAAAUAACAUCAAGAGUUUUUCAUCUUCUUAGUGUGCAAGUAAUCUCUGCUGGACUUCUCUAUCAAAGUGUUUGAUGCAGCAAAAUAAAUAUCAAGGAGUGCAAUUCCUGGAUUUAUGAUGUCUGAGGAAUAGUCUUAGUGGAUUAUCCCAAACUUGACACAUUUUUUGCAAAAUGCUAUACAAAAAGAAGAUACAUGCGAUUAUGACAAGAUUCUCCACUUGGUGUGACCAGUCUCAUACAACCCAAGGCUGUGUGUCCAAAGGCAACUGUACUGAUCUUGACAAUAAUCAAAAGGUAGCCAGGUGCAUCGG